AACGGCCAUACCAUGGUGAAUAUACCGGCUCGUUAGAUCACCGAAGUCAAGCAUCAUUGGGCACGGUCAGUACUUGGGUGGGUGACCACCUGGGAACACCGCGUGCUGUUG
Molecule: ribosomal RNA, 111 nt
Filed under: Caerostris extrusa
Lineage: Eukaryota; Metazoa; Arthropoda; Arachnida; Araneae; Araneidae
Source: RNAcentral